CUCACUUCGGUCAAUUAGCAAUAAUUUUUCUGUGGACUUCCGGAAAUCUGUUUCAUGUAGCUUGGCAAGGAAAUUUUGAGUCGUGGGUACAGGACCCUUUACAUGUAAGACCUAUUGCUCAUGCAAUUUGGGAUCCUCNCUGAGGAACGUCUUUAUCAUAAUAUUUUUGCUUCUCACUUCGGUCAAUUAGCAAUAAUUUUUCUGUGGACUUCCGGGAAUCUGUUUCAUAUAGCUUGGCAAGGAAAUUUUGAGUCGUGGGUACAGGACCCUUUACAUGUAAGACCUAUUGCUCAUGCAAUUUGGGAUCCUCAUUUUGGUCAACCGGCCGUGGAAGCUUUUACUCGAGGGGGUGCUCUUGGCCCAGUGAAUAUCGCUUAUUCUGGUGUUUAUCAGUGGUGGUAUACAAUCGGUUUACGCACUAAUGAAG
Molecule: long non-coding RNA, 427 nt
Filed under: Solanum pimpinellifolium
Lineage: Eukaryota; Viridiplantae; Streptophyta; Magnoliopsida; Solanales; Solanaceae
Description: long non-coding RNA (SPIM_LNC000121)
Source: RNAcentral